AGAACGAACGCUGGCGGCAUGCCUAACACAUGCAAGUCGAACGAGACCUUCGGGUCUAGUGGCGCACGGGUGCGUAACGCGUGGGAACCUGCCUUUAGGUUCGGAAUAACUCUCCGAAAGGGGUGCUAAUACCGAAUAAUGUCUUCGGACCAAAGAUUUAUCGCCUUUAGAUGGGCCCGCGUUGGAUUAGCUAGUUGGUGGGGUAAAGGCCUACCAAGGCGACGAUCCAUAGCUGGUCUUAGAGGAUGAUCAGCCACACUGGGACUGAGACACGGCCCAGACUCCUACGGGAGGCAGCAGUGGGGAAUAUUGGACAAUGGGCGAAAGCCUGAUCCAGCAAUGCCGCGUGAGUGAUGAAGGCCUUAGGGUUGUAAAGCUCUUUUACCCGGAUGAUAAUGACAGUACCGGAGAAUAAGCUCCGGCUAACUCCGUGCCAGCAGCCGC
Molecule: ribosomal RNA, 444 nt
Filed under: uncultured bacterium
Lineage: Bacteria
Description: SSU rRNA
Rfam family: Bacterial small subunit ribosomal RNA
Source: RNAcentral